RNAcentral lists this ribosomal RNA (301 nucleotides) under uncultured bacterium. RNAcentral describes it as "partial 16S ribosomal RNA". It matches the Rfam family "Bacterial small subunit ribosomal RNA", at positions 509 to 807 of the family's 1533-position model. The record is from RNAcentral.
CAGCCGCCGCGGGAAUACGAGGGGGGCAAGCGUUGUUCGGAUUUAUUGGGCGUAAAGGGCUCGCAGGCGGUUUCUUAAGUCUGAUGUGAAAGCCCACGGCUCAACCGUGGAGGGUCAUUGGAAACUGGAAAACUUGAGUGCAGAAGAGGAGAGUGGAAUUCCAUGUGUAGCGGUGAAAUGCGCAGAGAUAUGGAGGAACACCAGUGGCGAAGGCGGCAACCUGGUCCAUAACUGACGCUGAGGCGCGAAAGCGUGGGGAGCAAACAGGAUUAGAUACCCCGGUAGUCCCUGUCUCUUAUAC